Pantherophis guttatus is the source of this 12326-nucleotide RNA transcript. It is a transcript of the gene named RNA binding motif single stranded interacting protein 3, with no coding region annotated. Lineage: Eukaryota; Metazoa; Chordata; Lepidosauria; Squamata; Colubridae. The record is from RefSeq and is a predicted model, not a curated record.
AAGUGUUCUUAAACAGCAAGCUCCGGUUUUUUCUGUCUCGACUUUCUGAAACGCCCGCGCUGUUCUUAGAGCGGCUAACUUUGGGAAGACUCGCCGAAGAAGGGGGAAGGCUGAGCCACAGCUCCCCCCCCUCCACCCCCCAUCUCGGCGGCUUUGGCGGCAGCAAAACUGCUCCGCUUUCUAUAAUAGCCAGCAGAGGAAGCGGGGUUUUCCUUGCAGCAAGGGCUGGAGCGCGCCUGCUUCUUUGAGUAGGAAAUACUGCAGGCUUCUGGACUGCGUCUCCUUCUCGAGGGAGAAGCUAGCUGUUGUAGUUCCACCCACCGACUGGAAGGAGGGGGUUUGAAUAAAAGAGAAGAAAAGCCCCAAUACCUCGGGUCCCUCCGUGAGGGCGACCGCAGCAACUAGGCUGGGGCGAGCGAGGACGCGCUCCCUUCCGUCAUGCCUCCCUCCUUUUCUUUUCUUUUCUUUUCUUUCUUUCUUUCUUUCUUUUUUUUUUUUAGAGCUUUUCCUUCCCACCCCCUCCUUUUCUCUUUUUAGUAAGCGGGUGAGGGAUCGUGAGAAACCGCGAGGAAGCCGAUCUGAGGAGAUCCGGACUUCCCUCGUCUUGCUGUUUUCUCCGAAAGGACUGACACCCCCUCCCGGUUCACACACCCCUCUCCAGACCCUGGCAAUUGACAUUACUUAAGAGCAGGAGGAAGGCGGGGGGUCCCGCUCUAACGGGGCGGGCGGAGAAAAGCAAAGCAAAGCAAAGCAAAGCAAGACCUGUUUCCCCCUUUUCGAUGUUUUGAUUUUUUAAAAAAAAUCUUAUUUUUAAUUUUUGCGGCGGUUGACGCGACUGGACCUAGUGAAGGCAAAGAAGUCCGAGGGAGGAAAAAAGAAAGAAGCCACCUUGAUUAGGACUGUCAGGAAUAGUGGUUUUAACCGAAGAAAGGCCUGGGGCACGACUCCCUGUCAACGAGUUCCCUGCAUCCGAGAUAAAGAUUCUAGCUACAUGGGCAAACGCUUGGAACCGCAGCCAAUGUUCCCACAGUACACAUACUACUAUCCCCAUUAUCUCCAAACCAAGCAUUCCUAUGCACCAGCUCCCCAUCCCAUGGCUCCUCUCAGCCCCAGCACUAACAGUAGCAACAACAAUAGCAACAACAGCAGUGGUGAACAGUUGAGUAAAACCAACCUGUACAUCCGAGGCCUUCCUCCCGGCACCACUGAUCAGGACCUAAUCAAACUGUGCCAGCCGUAUGGAAAAAUUGUAUCUACAAAAGCAAUCCUAGACAAAAACACAAAUCAGUGCAAAGGUUACGGUUUUGUAGAUUUUGAUAGUCCAGCAGCUGCACAGAAAGCCGUAGCAUCUCUUAAAGCAAAUGGUGUGCAAGCUCAGAUGGCUAAGCAACAAGAACAAGACCCCACAAAUCUUUACAUCUCAAACUUGCCCAUCUCCAUGGAUGAGCAAGAGUUGGAGAAUAUGCUUAAACCUUUUGGACAUGUCAUUUCCACCAGAAUAUUAAGAGAUGCAAAUGGCAUCAGUAGAGGAGUUGGAUUUGCCAGAAUGGAAUCUACUGAAAAAUGUGAAGUUGUAAUUCAACAUUUUAAUGGAAAAUACCUGAAAACACUGCCAGGUGUGCCAGCCCCAACAGAACCUUUGCUGUGCAAAUUUGCUGAUGGAGGACAAAAGAAACGACAGAAUCAAAGCAAAUAUACUCAGAAUGGGAGACCCUGGCCAAGAGAAGGAGAGGCUGGCAUGGCCUUGACAUAUGACCCUACAGCUACUAUACAGAAUGGAUUUUAUUCCUCACCGUACAGUAUUGCUACAAACCGCAUGAUUCCACAGACAUCUAUCACGCCAUUCAUUGCUGCUUCCCCUGUCUCCACAUAUCAGGUUCAGAGUACUUCAUGGAUGCCCCAUCCAUCAUAUGUUAUGCAACCAACAGGUACUGUGUUAACAUCAGCAAUGGAUCAUACAAUGUCCAUGCAGCCAGCAAGUAUGAUGGGCCCCUUGACACAACAGAUGAAUCAUCUUUCCUUGGGCACAACAGGAACAUAUAUGACGGCUGCUGCACCUAUGCAAGGGACCUAUAUUCCCCAGUACACUCCUGUGCCUCCAACAGCUGUCCCUCUUGAAGGUGUAGUUGCUGAUACCUCUCCACAGACAGUAGCACCUUCAUCACAGGAAUCCAGUGGUCAACAGCAACAGAUGGCUGUCGAAACAUCCAGUGAACAUGCAUCUGCAUAUUCAUACCAACAGUCAAAAAACCAGCUUCCAAAGUAUCCACCUCUUUAUAUCUAUGUGAACCACUGAUCUAAGAAUGGUCUCUCCUUGGAAAAAUAUAAAACCAAAACAGUCCUCAUGCAAAAACAGGAAGUUUCCUUGGAGGAAGGGAAGUCUGUUACCUCACUGAUAUGAAUAAGACAAUGAACAGACCUGAAAAAUGUCAGUCAGCAAAGUUUGCCUUGAAUGAAAAAACUUCAUUGAACAAGAAGUUGGCUUCCCGUUUGCACAGGCGGCAACAUUUUUUUUUUCAUUUUCUAUUUUACCCAGCAAGAGUGUUUCUAUGUGCUGUGCAAAUUGUUUGAUCAUAUAGUCUGAUAGUUUUAUUUUUGCUAAUUUUUUUAGUUAAAGGGGAAAACAUGGCAAAAUAGUGGGUUAAUAUUUUAUCUGAAUGAACAUUUGAAAUUCAGAAUUUACUACUUGGAACUGUACAUUUAUACUUUUUGUUUGUUUUGUUUUGUUCAUUUGGUUUUGUUUUGUUUUGUUUUGUUUUGUUUUGUUUGGUUUGGUUUGGUUUGGUUUGGUUUGGUUUGGUUUGGUUUGGUUUGGUUUGGUUUGGUUUGGUUUGGUUUGGUUUGGUUUCCCAAAAAAGAACGAUGAUAAUAAGAGAGAGAAAGCUGAGAUGGAAACCAGUGGUCUUCCUCAAGAAUUCAGCUAAUUCUUUCCCCUUCUUGAAAUCAACGGUGUCUUUCCUUUUGAGUUUGUGUGCAUAUGUGUUUGGUUUUUUUAAAAGAAAUGUUUAGGUAAGAUUUAUAUUGAAUCUUAAUUGCCUUAAUUUUAAGGAAGUCGAAGGCUUUCAAGGCACGCUGUUAACGUUUUGGUAGAAGAAAAGUAAAUGGAUUCCAAUGUAUCUACACCUGGAUCAACUGGUGCUGAAGUUCAACAGACUGAAUUUUUAGGGUUAACAAACAACAACAAAAUAAAAACUGUACUAAAAAGAAAAUAUUAAACAAAAACUGUUGAUAAAGGAACUAUGACAACUUCAAGAUUUGAAAAAAAAUGAAGACUUUUAUGAACUUUCUUAGUGUUGACCAAGAAGAAUCUAAAAGGCUAAAGUGUUUUAUAAUAAAAUUAUUUGAGAGGGAGGUCAACUUGCAUUUUAAAGAAUUGGUAGGGAGGGUUCAGGGUUUUUUUUUUUUAAUUUACAAAAUGUGUUUGUUGGCCAGAGCAUUAGAGCUUUUUAUCUGCAGUCUUUUUUUUAUGAGCUUUAAAAAGUUUUUAGCCUGCUUUGCUUGUCACGUUGCAAACACCUAGCUUAAAAGCAUUGGGGGAAAAUCUUAGAUAGGAGCUUAUGGUCAAAAAAGUGCAAAAAAGCAAUAGCUAGAAGAAAUUGGUGACAAUUUCUGUGGUCUUUCCUAGUUGUGAUCAAAUGCAGCCUAUGGAUGGCCUGUUUUAUACCAAAGAUGAAAUAACACCCUACCACAGUUAAGAAGAUAAAAGGGUUUUGUUUUAUUUUAUUUUUUUCUUAUUUCUUUCUAAAAAAAUCUUUGUUUGACUAAUAUGGCCGGUCCAGUUGUUAUCUUUGUGUAUUGUUUAAACUUUCUUCCACUGGUAUUUUACAUUCUAUGAACUUGGGAUUCUAAUCAAAAAUCCUGAUUAGUUGGUACUUAAGAACACUUAGCAGAAUACGAGGAAGAUUUCAGUUGCCAGUUUUACCUUUUCUGUGUUUUUUUUCUUUUUUACUGCAACAGGAGUCUUCCUUCCUUAUAUCAUCCCGUGGGCUUUUUCUUUUUUCUUUUGCCUCCUCUUUCCCUGUAUUGGUUUUCAGUGCUGUGAACCAUCCAUGAUCAUCGUCUGGAUGAUAUUUGAAUCACUUGGAAGAGGCCACUGAAAAUGGUUAAUUUGUUUAAAUUGUCCCAACUAAGAUAAAAGUUUAAAAUGGUUUGUGUUAAUUUUCAUGCAAACAUGAAAUUAACAAUCACUUUUUAUUAAAUGGAUUUCUGUUGUCUUCAUAUGUUUACUGACAAUCAGUGAUUAGUUUAAUUAGGUAAAAGACAAGAAUGACUAGGUUGAAUCAGUGCAAACUUAUUUUUUAAAAGAUAAAAGAAUAUAUGCAAUCUAGUAAUAUAUGAAGGAUCCAGGAAAAUUCCAUCUCCCAUUCAUAGUGGUUGAAGAACUUUUUUCCCCAACAGUCUAUGGAGAAAACAUUUUAUAAUUGUCCUCAAAUUAGAACUGGUAUUUAUGAAUGGGAUAAAGAAGUACAAUGUAUCUUUUUGAGAAGAUGAAGCAUUUAAAAUGAUCCUUCUUUAGGAAAAAAAAUAGACUUCAGUGCAGUGACUGUGAUGUAUUAAAAAACAGGGUAAUCAUAUUGAAAAAUGAAAGCAAAAUGUUGUAAAAAUAAUGAAACAUUUUUUGGGGGGGAAGGAAGGGGAAUCAAAGAGAUUCAACUUACCCAGUUUUAAUAUCAAGGACAUAAACAACUAAAUAUGACUCCUACAUGAGCCUAGUGAAAUAACACAAGGUUUUAGCAGGAGCAUUAUUGUGCACGGAAUCCAUGGUUACCUUUAAACGAUGUUUUUUAAAGAAAUUGAGUAUUUUUUUAAAAAUUCUAAAAACAGUUCCUUAUUUUUAAUGUAAUAUUUUGUGUUUGAUGGGGUUGGGUGUUGGAUAACCCUCCCAAAAUGGCUGCUCAAUGCGAACAUUAAAAAGAAAAAGAAAAAGAAAAAGGGAAACAGGUUGUCUCCUGGCUGGCAUAAUGAAAAGAACCUGGUUAUUUCAAGUUCAUGUAGUUUUUAGUAACCACAUAGGGCCACACAGAGAAAAUAAUAGUAAUAUAUUAGUAAGGACCUCUAGCUUCCUUUUUUCACAGCUUUUUUCACAGCUUUGCCAAUGCUGUUACUUUCUAUAAACAUCCCUUGAUUUUUUCCCCCUUGUUUUCAUUUGGAAUAGGUGUGCCUAUUGAAAGGGGUAUGAGAAAAACGAUCAAGCCAGCCUGGUUUUCUUCCUUUUUAUUCUCUCUCUCUCUCCCUCCCUCCCUCCCUCCCUCUCCUUCCCUGUUCCCUCCCUCCCUCUCUCUGUGUGUGUAAAUAUAGAACUUAUUCUCCUGUGGCACAAUUCUGUUUUAAUAUGAAAGAAGCAUGUGUUGUGGGUUUGCUUGUUUGUUUUUUAAUUGUCUUGUGAAUUCUAUUUUGGUGCAAAGAAUAGUCUCAUUACUGUUGACAAUGAGGCUGUAAGGUAGCUACCGUGUGGCAGAUGAAUAUGGCUGAGAUAUCUUUUUGUUUUGGAUCAGCCCUCUGCUGUUUUCUUUACACUUUGGGUCAUUUUCUUUGGGUCUAUUUCCCCAAUCAGGUUCAAAACUCAGUGUAGGAUUUUUCAUUAAGUCAGGCAUCUUCCUCUUCCUCCUUACUGGUAAUCAUUAGUUCAUCAUUAUCACCUGAAGUGUCUGAGAAUUUUAUAUGUUUUAAUCCUGUGGCAUCCUAGCAAUUCUACCAUUUUGCAAAUAAAUGAAAAGGGUAAAGUCUCUUGAAUCAAGUGUGACUCUUAGUGACACAUCUUUAUGUUUUCUUUAAUGAGGGACAUAAUAUGCCUUCUUCUGAAUUAUUAUUACUUUUGUUUUACUUCCCAGUCUUGUCUAUAUCAUUGUAUUUCUUGGUGGAUUCUAUCCAAGUACUAAAUCAGGAUUGUUCCUUCUUACCUUUCUAAAAUGAGUCAAAGUCAGCUAAGUACUUUAUCUACCUGGCCAUUACAAAUGGAGGAGGAAAAGUGACAUAUUCUUCCAAUAAGUUGCUGUUUAAUAGAUUCCCCUUUGAUGCAUCACCAAGUUAAUAACUGAUAGUCUAGAGACUAUGUUUGAGCCAAACUGCUGUAAUCUAAAUUUGAAGAGGCCUAAAGAAAAUCAAAAGCUAAUCCUUGAUUUCAAAUUUAAUUUUAUCAAUCCUUUUGGCCAUUUAUACCCAACAGACUUUAUUACAGCGUUAAAGAAGCUAUAUAACUUGGGUUCAAUGUUUACAAGAUGUAUGACACUGAUGUAUCAAUCUGAUUAUAUUAACUAUAUGAUGUCAAUGACAUCGAUGGAGAAAUUAUUUUUCAUCUCCUAGGAAAAGUCGGUAUAUACUCCAAAUCUGACCCCAACAUGGAAUAAAAUAUAAGGAGAGUUUCUUAUGAUAGGAGAUAAUCAUUCUAACUUUAGAUUGACAGAUCUAACUUUUCAAAAAUCAAAAGACAUUUGAUUCAUUUAAUAAGACCUUAGAAUUCUCCCUUCUUUCUCAGCCAUACAUCUCUUUAUGUGAUGCCACAAUCUAGAGAAGAUCGGAAUGUUCCAGAACUCAAUAGCAAUGUACAUUUAGAGGAGAAAAGAUAAGUCUAAGGUCCAAAAGCACAUGGAGAUUGCAGAUCUUGCAUCAACCAUAUAUCUAUAUAAAUUUAUUUCACAAUGUAAUCUGCAAUCUCUGCUCAGUGAAUGUAUCUUGUAUUUUUAACCCAUACCACCUUGGAAAAGGACAAUUUCCUAAAGCAUUUUAUUAUUUCUCACAGUGCUAAAACCACUAAAAAUUAUACUGGGCAUCUAAAUGGCCUUGUUUCAUUCCAUGAAUAUAAUUUAUGGAAUCAUAAGUUAAUUCCUUAUGCUUCUUUGCCCAGAUGAUCAUAUUUUCCUUGUCUGAUAUCAUAUAGAAAGAUAUUUUGGGUUGUACACCUCUAGUUUUUGAAAGUUUUAAUAUUCCAAUCCUGAUAUCAGUAAUGACACAAAAUAGCAAUGCAGACAAAACUUCUACUUGUGCAGAGGAAUAUAGUAGGCUUUCUGGAUAACCACAGUUUACCUUCCUUUGCUAGCCCCCUCCUCAGCUUCAUUAACUUCUGAGAUGGGAUUACUGGUUUUGACAUAAUAUGAUGAUGGUUACCCAGUCGUUUAUAAGACAGCCCAGAGCUGGACUACUAAAAUAUGGGAUUUGGAAAACUAAUAUACCAUUGCAAUAAUGGUAUAAACCUAGGCUAGAUUUCAAUAUCACCAGGAUUUGGAAAGCUUUUCCUCAGAUCUUUUUAAUUAAUGUGCAUUUAAUCCAAGUAUUGGAACAAGAAAGCAUAUAUUUGUGUCUAUGUCUAUGCAUAUGUACAUAUAUAUGCAUAUGUAUAUGAUGCACACACACACACAUACAUAUACAUAUGUAUAUGAUGCACACACAUAUAUGCAUACACACAUACUAGAUACAUAUAUUGUAUGUAAAGAAAAACAUUUUUGACAAUCUUCAACAAUAUUGAGGAUGUUUAAAUUUCUUCUGAAUAUGCUUUCCUUGCUACAUUCCUGAUUACAAGGUUCUACUUUUUCCAAGAGGCAAGGGGAGAAUGACAAGUAGGAAUGACCAGGUAUACUGUCACAUGAUCCACCACAUAUAAAGCCUUGACAGUGUGUGCCAUCCAUGUAAGACUGGGGAUUUCUUUCAUGUGAUUUCGCUAGCUGAUUUUUUUUCAAGGAUUUCAUUAAUUCCCAGCUCACAUAGCUGAGCAAUCAACAGAGGGUACUCUUGCUGCAAAAGAAAGGCUUUUGAAUUUGCAGUUUGACUUCCACUUUAUCCAUGAACCUCCUAUUUGGAGCCAACCAUUCACAGAAUUUUUAAAAAAUGUUUUCCCCUCCAGCUGGUCAACAUUUUCUCUUUUUCUGUCUUUUUCUGUCAAAACCUUGUCCAAAUUAGUAGAUUUGCAAGGUUAGACUGCCCUAUUAGUGUCAUUGCAGCUGUUUGUUCUGAAGUAUGUGUGUGGGUUCUUUGGAAUUAAUCCACCAUGUUGUAGUAUUUUCUGCUACAAUUGCGUUCAUAAAACUGUUGAUUAAGCAAAUAAGUGAUUCCUACAGCAAGGUUAAAUAUUUAAAUUCAUUUGACAUUAUUCAGAAUAAUGAAGGAUGUCUUUGUAAGUUUGUCUAUCAAACCCAGCAGACUUAAGAAUGCCUGCAAUGUAGUAAUAAAAUUUAUUUUUAAUAUGUCACAGUAUUUUGAUCUAAAUUAUCUUGCCUAUGGUAUUGAAGAAAUGAUAUGAAAUGCAUAGAAAGUUGCCUUGAUUUGUAACUUGAAGCCUGAAGAUAGCAUUAUCAGCCUUGUUCUCUUAAUUAGCUGAGACUAAUGUGAGUGGAAGAGGUUUAAAUUACAUCACUUAUUAUCUAUCUAAUAAAAGUCUUCUGAAAGGUAGGCUAAUGGGCUUCACACAAUGAAUCAACCUCAUAAUGAUAAAACCAAAUUUGGGAUCUAAGAUAAUUGUAUUUGAUACACAGUCAACUUUUUAUCUCAAUGCUUUAUUUAAUAUGAAAUUGCUUUUGAUAUACAAAGGGAUAAAGGUUCUUUGUUUCUUUUGAAUAGGCUAAGAAUAUUCAAUCAGUAUUCUGUAACUGUAAAGGAAAGCCCAGCACAUAUUUCUGAAAACUCUUUUUUAUGUUAUCAAACUUUUCUAAACAAUUAGAUGAUUUCAUUUUAAAUAAAGCAUAACAUCAUCAUGCAUGCAACAAAUGGUGUGUUAGAGUUGGCUUUCACCUCUCCUGAGAGCCCAUUGUUAAACAAUCAAGAAUUUUGUGGCUGAUUGACAGCAGAAUUGAGCUACCACCAAGUCAGCUUUUUGGCAGUGAAUGGAGAAAAUGGCAAGAAGGUGACAAUCAGCAGAGAGAAAAUAGAACUGCUUAACUCCUUUUUUUUCAUCCAUCUUUACACAAAAGAAAAACAACUCAUCAAAAAAGUUCUGAAUUUUGCAAGUGAAAAUAAGCAAGGGAAUGGUAAGAGAAUACCUAUCCAGUCUAGAUGAAUUCAAAUCAUCAGGAUCAGGUGGAUUACACCCCAAGGUUCUGAAGGAACUGGAAGACGUGAUCUCAGAACAAGUGAACUAUGUCUUUCAAAGAUCCUAGACCACUGGGUAACUACAAAUGACUGGAAAAUGGCUGAUGUAAUUCCCAUCUUCAAAAAAGGAAAUAGAUCCAAGAAACUACAGACCUAUCAUCCUGACAUCAAUAUUUGGAAAGAUUCUGAAAAAGAUAAGUAAUGAAUCUGCAAACACCUACAGGCAAACAAAGUCAUAACCACAAGCCAAUAUAGGUUUGUCAAAAACAGAUCAUGCUAAAGAAAUCUUAUUGUAUUCAUUGAAAAUAUGACAAAAUUAAUGGACCAGAGAAAUACUGUGGAUAUAAUUUACUUGAACUUCAGUAAGGUAUUUGAUAAAACAGACCACAACCUAUUACUUAAGAUAGAAAAAUGUCAAUAAGACAGCAUCAUCACCAUGGAUUCAUAACUGGCUGACCAAUUGGACUCAACAAAUAGUCCUUAAUGGAACUGCGUUUACAUGGAGGGAAGUAUGCAGUAGGGUACCCAACGUUCUGUUUUAGGCCAGUUCUCUUCAAUAUCUUCAUCAAUGAUUUAAACAAGGGAACCCAUCAAAUUUGCAGAUGACACCAAACUGGCAGGAAUAGCCAACGCUCCAGAAGACAGACUCAAGAUACAGAAGGAUCGCGACAGACUGGAACAUUGGACCUUGCCUAACAAAAUGAAAUUCAGUGGUGACAAACAUAAGGUCCUACAUGAAAAACUAAAUGCACAAGUACAGAAUAGGUGAUACCUGACUCAAUAGUAGUAACUGCAAGAAGGUUCUUGGAGUCCUAACGGAUAAUCACUUAAAUAUGAGCUGCUGUGUGGUACACUGCCAAAAAAGCCAACUCAGUCCUAGGCUGUAUUAAUAGAAAAUCAACAUCAUGCAAAUAUGCGAACUGCUGGUAUCAUUUUAUAAUGCCUUGGUAAGACCACCCUUGGAAUAUUGCAUCCAGUUUUGGUUACCACAAUAUAAAAAAGAUGUUGGACUUCAGUAAGGUAUUUGAUAAAACAGACUAUAACCUAUUACUUGAUAAGAUAGAAAAAUGUAGGUUAGACAGCAUUAUCACCCGAUGAAUUCAUAACUGGCUGUCCAACCGGACUUAAUGUGUAGUCCUUAAUAGAACUGCAUCUACAUGGAGGGAAAUAUGCAGUAGGUAUUCCAAGGUACCCUACUAUAGAAAGAGUGCAGAGGAACGCAAGAAAGAUGAUUGUGGAACUCGAGGCUAAAACAUAUGAUGAAUGGUUGUAGGAAUUGGAUGUGUAGUUUAAUGAAAAGAAGGACCAAGGAUGACAUGACAGCAGUAUUCCAAUAACUAAGGGGCUGCCACAAAGAAGAGGGGGCUAACCUAUUCUUCAAAGCAUCUGAAGCAGGACAAGAAGCAAUGGAUGGAAACUAAUCAAGGAAAGAAACAACCUAGAAUUAAGAAAUUUCCUGACAGAGCAAUUAGUAGAACGACUUGUCUCCAGAAAUUGUGGUGUUCCAACACUGGAGGUUUUUAAGAAGAGAUUGGACAACCACUUGUCCAAAAUGUUAUAAGGUUUCCUGCUUCAGCAGAGAGUUGUACCAAAAGACUUCCAAGAUCCCUCCCAACUUUGUUAUUCUGUACUGGCAUUGUACUGGCAUUGUUGAUUGAUACAUAUUUAUAAGUACACAAUUGUUUUUAACACAGACGCAUACUUGGCAAAAUGAAGAUCAAUAAUGCAUGAUUAUAAGGCUGUUUCUAAGAUCUGGUCAAAAAAGACAAGAUAUCAGCUCCACCAUAACAAUACGAUCCCAGCUCUGCUUUUUGUAUGCAUGAUAUAUAUGCAACACAUAAAAAACAGGCAAAACUUUUAUUGUGCCAUCCUACUUCUGUCUUAAUUUUUUUUUCACUAUAAUCUGAGGAUUCCCUGGAUCAUUCUAUUCUUUAGGAAGUGGAUUUUAGGAAUCAGCCAAGGAUACAAAGAAAGCGGGAAGGAACUUUUAAUCCUUUGGGGAAAUCAUUCUUCCACCUAGUAUAGUUACAUUAUCAAAAGUGGAUUUCAACUUUAAAUUCAUCUUCAUACCUCAGAUUUCAGAAAAUAAACAGUAUUUUAACAUUUACUAACAUGUUCUGUGCUUAUAAUUAAAUAAAUGGAACAUACAACAAAUAGUGUAAAGUGAAUGUCAGGUUUACUUCUAUGGAGAUUAAAAUGCCGGUGCUUACGUAAAUGGAUUUCUAUUUUGAUAGUUAUUACAUCAGAGGUUCUUUCACCAUAAUGAUCAUUUGUUAGGAGCUGUGAAUGAUCCACUAUUACUCGCAAUUGCAUAGCACCUUCUUCUUUUGAAAGCUAACGAAGACAUAAGGAUUUCAGUGCUUGUCUUUAAAGGACAAAUAAGAACAAAAGAUACCAACUUCAGAUAUUUCUGCAACAGAAAGAAGAGCCAACAUGAUACACAUAUGAUUUCAACAAAUGACAAAAUUACUCAAGGGAUAGCUUCAUAAAAAUAUCUUUUAAUUGAGCCAAGUGGAAGGGUACAACCCUAGAAGCCUCUAUUCCUGACAAAUCUUAUUAUCUGAACAUCAGAAGCAAUAAUUCCUUGUAAAAUAAAAAUAUUCACUCAACUGUGUGAUGACUAGGCCUUAACUUAUCUGUAAUAAACUACUGAUUGGUGUUCUAAAUGAAUUGUUCAGUUGAUAGGCAAAAACAAAGCAGAAGCUAAAUCAGGUUAUAGUUUGCUACAACAAAUGGGAUUUCUAUAUUGGUCUUAGAACGAGGAUUGCAAUCCUAUUCAUUGCUCAUUUUAGAUUGAAAUCUGACAGAAUUUUAUCAGAUCAUACUGAAAUCAUACUUCCCACCAAGUAAUAGUUAAUUUUAUUUAUAUGAUUCUUAUGGAAGAAAAAGAAUUAUUCCAAUAUUUCAUAUAAAUAUUUAAUAUUUUAAUUUUGAAUUUAAAAGUUUCCUUUUGGUUAAAAUGAAACCAGCUCAAGAAACUAGGACUUUGAAAUUAGAUAAAUUUUCUAGGUAGGGGUAAAGGGAGGUGGUCUUUGUAAAUUUCCUAGGUCCUAAGAUGUAAGGUUCUAACUUGUAAAUUCUAACUUGUAAAAAUCAAGGGUAUAUUUGUGGUAAUGUUUCAUAAUGUCAUUAAAAGUUCUAUAUUGCAGAAGAUUGCUUUUUUCCUCUGCCUUUUUUGUUAAUUUGUAUUGUAAUCCUUAUAGCUGCCGUUUUCCCCAUUCCUGGGGUUUUGUGUAGAUCAGUGGAUGUAAGAAUUAAACCUGUCUUUUCUUUGAUGAAGCUUUUAAUAAAAAAGAAAUAAAGCAUGA